UGCUCUGGAAAUUCCGAUGAAUGACCUCACCAAAUAAUGAAUCUCAACUAUCACCUAAACUCUAAACACGAAUUAUUCCUAGAACAUAGUCCAAUAGAAACCCCACUAAUGCGAAUCAAACAAUUCGAGAACCCCCAAAAAAUUAGAACAACGAUUGAGAAGAUCUACGUGAUCGAAUCUCCGAUGAGCUGCCAGUGGCCCAAAACCGAUGAACGAAGACAAAUUCAGGUGAAACCUUGACAUUUUCCGACCAAAUCUUCCUAGAAAUUAAAAGAAGCGAGGAGAUUUUACAUAUUUUUGGGAUUGGUUUGGGUGAACGACUAACUAAAGAAAAGAUUUCGGCAAAACAGUCAUUGAAAUAGUAACAAGAAGCCCAAAAUUCAUUUUCUCCCACAAUUCUCAUGCUAUUUUUGCUUCUUUUCUUGUUAUUUUUCACUAUAUCUGUCGUGUGUGUGUUUUUCCCAUAUGUAUAUGUGUUUCUCUGAUCAUUAUGUAUGUGUGCAUCAAGAAAUCACGAAGAAGAAGAAAAGAAGACAAAAAAAAUAAAAUCCCCUGUAUGCAUGUUUCUCUCAAAAGAAGAAGGUAGUCCCCUAUUUUUCGUUUUUCCUCCAGUGUAUAUAUCUAUUUUG
RNAcentral lists this long non-coding RNA (629 nucleotides) under Capsicum annuum. RNAcentral describes it as "long non-coding RNA (CANN_LNC008093)". Lineage: Eukaryota; Viridiplantae; Streptophyta; Magnoliopsida; Solanales; Solanaceae. The record is from RNAcentral.